This 314-nucleotide ribosomal RNA is filed under the name uncultured bacterium. RNAcentral's name for it is "bacterial SSU rRNA". It matches the Rfam family "Bacterial small subunit ribosomal RNA", at positions 30 to 355 of the family's 1533-position model. The record is from RNAcentral.
AUUGAACGCUGGCGGCAGGCCUAACACAUGCAAGUCGAGCGGGGUUUUUCGGACCUAGCGGCGGACGGGUGAGUAAUGCGUAGGAAGCUACCCGACAGAGGGGGAUACCAGUUGGAAACGACUGUUAAUACCGCAUAAUGUCUACGGACCAAAGUGUGGGACCUUCGGGCCACAUGCUGUCGGAUGCGCCUACGUGGGAUUAGCUAGUUGGUGAGGUAAUGGCUCACCAAGGCGACGAUCCCUAGCUGGUUUGAGAGGAUGAUCAGUCACACUGGAACUGAGACACGGUCCAGACUCCUACGGGAGGCAGCAGU